Long non-coding RNA from Homo sapiens (human), 347 nucleotides. RefSeq lists it as uncharacterized. The transcript is spliced from 3 exons. The record is from RefSeq and is a predicted model, not a curated record. Lineage: Eukaryota; Metazoa; Chordata; Mammalia; Primates; Hominidae.
UGAUGCUAAACUCCACCGAGGACAUCUCAGACCAAUGCCACCAAAGCCUGUGAACUGACUGAGGGAGUUGCAACAUGGGCCCACCAUAGAACGCGAACGCAAAUAGAUGUGGACAGCGUAUUCACUAGUCUCCUCUUCAAUAGCAUCUACCAUCAUCAGAAGAUUUUGCUCCCUCUACUUGGAUAUCUCAGAAAUGAAUUGCCCAGGCUGUACCCACCAAGCAGCUGAAUGUCAGUAAGCCAGCCAACAGAAGAUCCUGCUCAUGAGAAAGUAAUUCAUAAACCAGAGCCUCUUGCAGAAAGCAAAGUUGAAAAUCAGAAGUUUACACAGAGAAAGAAAGAAAUCUG